UAAGAAUCCACAAUUCAAAUUGAAACUUAAAAUUUAAAAACAGUACAAUGUCUGUGAACAUUUUAUGAAACAGGACAGACUUCUAAGGUCUAAGAAAAAUUGAGAUUAAGUACAUCUACAACCAUACGAACAGUUCAUAAUUCAGAAAUUAAUAUCAACCUACACAUCUGAACUUCGCCUUACAGGUAUAACCAAAAUUACCUCGCGAUUUGGUUUGCGAGAGGGGGUUUGAGAGAGAUUCACGAGUUUACUACACUCAAAUCUCCCAAAGGUUAUAAUUGGGGGUCAACAAACGAUAUUUCUAUAAAUCAAUAACUACAAAAAACAUAUGCUCAGAACCCUAGAUUUCUUUCAAAUCAAAUUGAAAUUACAAGAUUCAUAUGCUCAGAAUCUUUACCUCUCUGUUUACAACAAGUUUUUUCCUUCCGGUUUGUUUCAGACUCGCUUUGACAGAAAGGGAAUUUGUGGAAAAAAUGCUAAGAUUGCUCAGAAUCAGAGAGAGAGAAUCAGUAGAAUUUGGGGAGAGAGCAUCGAGGAGAGAGAGAGGGGGAAAAAUGGAAAGAAUAUGAUGUUUUAACCCACCUCAUGAUUUCCCCCUUUUUUUGUGACCCGCCUCUUGUUUUGUGAC
This 628-nucleotide long non-coding RNA is filed under the name Panax ginseng (ginseng). RNAcentral's name for it is "long non-coding RNA (PGIN_LNC013574)". The record is from RNAcentral. Lineage: Eukaryota; Viridiplantae; Streptophyta; Magnoliopsida; Apiales; Araliaceae.